AUCCGUUUGUAGUUCGUAAGUGUGAUGAUUGGGUGUUCAUUGCGCUUAUGUGACAUGUGCCUCCCACAAACCGUGUUAUGGCAUUGGCACAUGGCCUGUCUGACG
Phyllostomus discolor (pale spear-nosed bat) is the source of this 105-nucleotide small nucleolar RNA. RefSeq annotates it as small nucleolar RNA U13. The transcript has a single exon. NCBI's taxonomy places the organism in Eukaryota, Metazoa, Chordata, Mammalia, Chiroptera, Phyllostomidae. The record is from RefSeq and is a predicted model, not a curated record.